UGCGGAAUUUUAGAUAAUGGAGGGAACUCUGAUCUAGCGACGCCGCGUGCAGGAAGAAGGUCUUCGGAUUGUAAACUGCUGUGGUAAGGGAAAAAUGCUAUGUAGAGUGGAAAGCUACAUAGAGGGAUGGUACCUUACUAGAAAGCCCCGGCUAACUACGUGCCAGCAGCCGCGGUAAUACGUAGGGGGCGAGCGUUACCCGGAAUCACUGGGCGUAAAGGGAGCGUAGGUGGCCUAACAUGUCAACUGUGAAAACCCGGAGCUCAACUCCGGACUUGCAGUUGAAACUGGUAGGCUUGAGGACGGUAGAGGAAGACGGAACUGCCAGUGUAGGGGUAAAAUCCUUAUAUAUUGGCAGGAACGCCGGUGACGAAGGUGGUUUUCUGGGCCGGUUCUGACACUGAUGCUCGAAAGCGAGGGGAGCGAACG
This 429-nucleotide ribosomal RNA is filed under the name uncultured bacterium. Its description in RNAcentral is "bacterial SSU rRNA". It matches the Rfam family "Bacterial small subunit ribosomal RNA", at positions 355 to 774 of the family's 1533-position model. The record is from RNAcentral.